AACAUCGCGCACCUGCGGGAACCUGCGGAAGGAUCAUUAACAAGCUGUGGGAGAUCAAUUUGAUCUCACACCUGGCCAACCUUGUUAACCUUAAAUAUAUAUUGCUUUGGUGAGCCCUGGCGGUUUUAGGGUUUUUCUAACCCUAAUAUUUCCCAGACUAGUGCUCACCAAAGUCAAACCCUAAACUCUUGAUUGUUUCUGCUGUCUGAGCAUGCAAGUGCAAAAUUUAGUUAAAAAAAC
RNAcentral lists this unclassified non-coding RNA (240 nucleotides) under soil metagenome. RNAcentral's name for it is "partial contains 5.8S ribosomal RNA, internal transcribed spacer 2, and large subunit ribosomal RNA". The record is from RNAcentral.